ACUCCUACGGGAGGCAGCAGCGAGGAAUCUUGGGCAAUGGGCGAAAGCCUGACCCAGCGACGCCGCGUGGAGGACGAAGGCCUUCGGGUUGUAAACUCCUUUUGCCGGGGAAGAUAAUGACGGUACCCGGCGAAUAAGCCACGGCUAACUACGUGCCAGCAGCCGCGGUAAU
Molecule: ribosomal RNA, 172 nt
Filed under: uncultured Chloroflexota bacterium
Lineage: Bacteria; Bacillati; Chloroflexota
Description: uncultured Chloroflexi bacterium partial 16S ribosomal RNA
Rfam family: Bacterial small subunit ribosomal RNA
Source: RNAcentral